This 73-nucleotide transfer RNA is filed under the name Stegodyphus mimosarum. It matches the Rfam family "tRNA". Rfam says of the family: Transfer RNA (tRNA) molecules are approximately 80 nucleotides in length. Their secondary structure includes four short double-helical elements and three loops (D, anti-codon, and T loops). The record is from Rfam by way of RNAcentral. Lineage: Eukaryota; Metazoa; Arthropoda; Arachnida; Araneae; Eresidae.
GCCUUCGUGGUGUAGUAGUUAGCACACUGAGCCGGUAUUUCAGAGGUCCGUGGUUCGAUUCCCGGCGAAGGCG